CUAGGGUUUGUUGGGGUCCAUUCCACGGAUUCCGUGACGCAGCUAACGCAUUAAGUUCCCCGCCUGGGUGUAGUACGGCCGCAAGGCUAAAACUCAAAGGAAUUGACGGGGACCCGCACAAGCGGCGGAGCAUGCGGAUUAAUUCGAUGCAACGCGAAGAACCUUACCAAGGCUUGACAUAUAGAGGAAACGUCUGGAAACAGUCGCCCCGCAAGGUCUCUAUACAGGUGGUGCAUGGUUGUCGUCAGCUCGUGUCGUGAGAUGUUGGGUUAAGUCCCGCAACGAGCGCAACCCUCGUUCUAUGUUGCCAGCACGUAAUGGUGGGAACUCAUGGGAUACUGCCGGGGUCAACUCGGAGGAAGGUGGGGAUGACGUCAAAUCAUCAUGCCCCUUAUGUCUUGGGCUUCACGCAUGCUACAAUGGCCGGUACAAAGGGCUGCAAUACCGUGAGGUGGAGCGAAUCCCAAAAAGCCGGUCCUAUUUCGGAUUGAGGUCUGCAACUCGACCUCAUGAAAUUCUGA
RNAcentral lists this ribosomal RNA (521 nucleotides) under Microbacterium arborescens. RNAcentral describes it as "bacterial SSU rRNA". It matches the Rfam family "Bacterial small subunit ribosomal RNA", at positions 808 to 1330 of the family's 1533-position model. Lineage: Bacteria; Bacillati; Actinomycetota; Actinomycetes; Micrococcales; Microbacteriaceae. The record is from RNAcentral.